CGGGAGGCGGAGCGGCGAACGAGGCCGUCGGCCAUUUUGUGUCUGCUUCCUGUGGGACGCGGUGGUAGCCGUUGGGUCGGGAAAGUGAGGGAUUUUCGCCUUGUUUCUCCUGCUUCUUUUCUCCUCCCUUUUACUUUGUCGGUAGAAUACAGUUAUGGGUCGCAAGAAGAAGAAGCAGCUGAAGCCGUGGUGCUGGUAUUGUAAUAGAGAUUUUGAUGAUGAGAAGAUCCUUAUACAGCACCAAAAAGCAAAGCAUUUUAAAUGCCAUAUAUGUCACAAGAAAUUAUAUACAGGACCUGGCUUAGCUAUUCAUUGCAUGCAGGUACAUAAAGAAACAAUAGAUGCCGUACCGAAUGCAAUACCUGGAAGAACAGACAUAGAAUUGGAAAUAUAUGGUAUGGAAGGUAUUCCAGAAAAAGACAUGGAUGAAAGACGACGACUUCUUGAGCAGAAAACACAAGAAAGUCAAAAAAAGAAGCAACAAGAUGAUUCUGAUGAAUACGAUGAUGAUGACUCUGCAGCCUCAACUUCAUUUCAGCCACAGCCUGUUCAACCUCAACAAGGUUAUAUUCCCCCAAUGGCACAGCCAGGACUGCCACCAGUACCAGGAGCACCAGGAAUGCCUCCAGGCAUACCUCCAUUAAUGCCAGGUGUUCCUCCUCUGAUGCCAGGAAUGCCACCAGUUAUGCCAGGCAUGCCACCUGGAUUGCAUCAUCAGAGAAAAUACACCCAGUCAUUUUGCGGUGAAAACAUAAUGAUGCCAAUGGGUGGAAUGAUGCCACCUGGACCAGGAAUACCACCUCUGAUGCCUGGAAUGCCACCAGGUAUGCCCCCACCUGUUCCACGUCCUGGAAUUCCUCCAAUGACCCAAGCACAGGCUGUUUCAGCGCCAGGUAUUCUUAAUAGACCACCUGCACCAACAGCAACUGUACCUGCUCCGCAGCCUCCAGUUACUAAGCCUCUUUUCCCCAGUGCUGGGCAGAUGGGGACACCUGUCACAAGCUCAAGUACAGCUUCAUCCAAUUCAGAAAGUCUGUCUGCAUCUUCUAAAGCUCUGUUUCCUAGCACAGCACAAGCUCAGGCAGCUGUCCAAGGACCUGUUGGUACAGAUUUCAAACCCUUAAAUAGUACCCCUGCAACAACUACAGAACCCCCAAAGCCUACAUUCCCUGCUUAUACACAGUCUACAGCUUCAACCACUAGUACAACAAAUAGUACUGCAGCUAAACCAGCAGCUUCAAUAACAAGUAAGCCUGCUACACUCACAACAACUAGUGCAACCAGUAAGUUGAUCCAUCCAGAUGAGGAUAUAUCCCUGGAAGAGAGAAGGGCACAGUUACCUAAAUAUCAACGUAAUCUUCCUCGGCCAGGACAGGCCCCCAUCGGUAAUCCACCAGUUGGACCAAUUGGAGGUAUGAUGCCACCACAGCCAGGCAUCCCACAGCAACAAGGAAUGAGACCCCCAAUGCCACCUCAUGGUCAAUAUGGUGGUCAUCAUCAAGGCAUGCCAGGAUACCUUCCUGGUGCUAUGCCCCCGUAUGGGCAGGGACCACCAAUGGUGCCCCCUUACCAGGGUGGGCCUCCUCGACCUCCGAUGGGAAUGAGACCUCCUGUAAUGUCGCAAGGUGGCCGUUACUGAUCUUACUUCAUCCAGUCUAAUAGCCCUGCCAUAGGACAGGCUGAGGCUGAGUCUCAGUGUUGCCCUGUUCAGUCUGAGCAGCAGAAUUUCAGCAUUUGCUACUUACUGGUAGAGAAGAAAAAUCCCACAGCCCUGCCAGUACAGGUUAGUUUAAUCUGUAAGUACCUGAUGUUCCUAUUUUUUUCAAACAUAUCCAUAUAACUCACACAAGGAAGAAAGCUGUGCGGUUACUUAAAUGUGAGUACAACUAAUAAUAGAUCCAUUGGACACUUUAAACACUCAGUACUUGGGCCAAAGUAGAUCUAGGUUUGCUAACCCCAGUUGUAAUAAAGGUGUAAUACUGCUCCUUUGUUAUCUCCUUGUGGUUCAACCUAAGUAGAUACAUUGUACAUAAAAGGAAAAGACAGUUUGAGUUGGCUGUGCCCUUGUUGAUAGAUGAGAUAGAGUCCAGGGCUUUGGGUCCAGGGUCUUUUACUUAAGCUAUUUCAUGGUGAUUCUCUCAUUCACCUUUUAACUUUUUACAGUAUGAAUCAACCUAAGAAAAAAGGCAAGUUUCCUCACAUCUAGAAAUGAUAAAUGGUGUACAGUCAUAAGCUAGAAUGUUUUUAUAAUGCUUUUUUGUUCUUUUAGCAACACUUGUAGAUACAAGUACUCCUUUUUUUUCUUUUUUUGUAAACUAUAACGUAUCCUGUUGGUGUAGCAGUGAGUUCAUUUUACUGUGAACUAAGAAUAACAUACAUACCUUUUUGAUAUUGAAAGCUGACUACCCAUCAAGAAAUGUAGCUAGAUUCUUCAUGUAACACUUUUGAGGGGCAGUGGGGACAUAAUGGGUUGUGGAAGAUGUGUUUAACAUUUUUAUUUUUAUUUUUUUUUCAUUCUACCCAAGUUCAUUGUUGUUUGAACCAUCCUUUAACCUUUAAAUGUUGUGCUUUUAGGUUGAUACAAAUGUAAAGCACUGAGGAGGGAGGAAUAAAGCAUACAAGUUAAUUUCUAAUUUUUGCAAGCCUGAACCAUCCUAAUCUGAUGGUAGGAUGUAUGGCUUCUUCCUUUUCACCUUGUGUGAUACCUAAUUUGAGACGAUCUAGCCAUAAAACUAGUUAAUCUUGAAUUCCUCUUGAACUGGAUGGUGAUUAGCCAUUGUGAUAACAGAUUAUCUUUAUAUGGAAAUUGUGCGUAUUGUUAAAUUUUAAGACAUGGAUUUAUCAACUAAUAAUAAAAUAUAUCUUAUAAGAUAUCCACUUGUUUUUUAAUGUAAAAUUGCACAAGGGCUUAAGUUUCGUUGCCUUUCACAGUUUAAUUUGUAUAUGAAAUGGUGUAGAUACAGUGGAAAUGGUUUUCCUUAAAACCAUCUCUUUAAAGCUGCCUUUCUGGUGAGUACUAUUUUAUACUUUUAUAUAUUAUAAUUUAACCUUCUAAAAUUAACUGAACUAGGACACUUUGAUUAAAGAGGGAAGCAAUCUGAAUUUCUACAUCUCUUUGGAUAUUACUUGAAUCAAUAUUAGAAAAUUAUUAUUUUACCACCUGGCAUUUCCCUUUUAAUGCUUUUUUAAGAAAAAAGUUCACCUUUUUCUGACCUUCACUUAACAGACUACAAAUACAAAAACUUUUAACACAUAAAUUAUUUCAUUUUCAUGAGAUGGAAUAAAUGUUUAAAACUAGUAUUUAAGAAAGUUCUUAAACAUUUUCUUUUUAGUUGGCAGCCAAAAGAUUUUUGUCAGUGCUUCGGAGACAUUGCAUAGGUGUAAAGUUAAGAUACCAGAACUUCAUUCUGUUCUUGUUGGAGCUCUUGUUGCAGUGAUUCAUGAGCAGUAAGCUGGAGUUCGGGUGGAAGAGGGGUUUACCAAAAUCAGAAUUCUUCAUGCAGACCAGUUACUUACAGGGUUUCCUUGAGAGGCUUAAAAAUUUCAAAAGUAUUAUUUAAGCCACUCUAACCCUGCGUGAAAAAUUGGAGUUAGAAAUACUGAUUUCUGAGACCACGUAUACCAGUGAAAGUUAGCUUCUGAGUAUGUUUUUAAUUACUUUAUGCCCUGCUUUAUUUAGCCUCGGUAUAUGUAACACACGGAUUAUUUUUUCCCUCUAGUUUUUAACUGUUCCUACAUAAAAACCAGCAUAUGCUAAGAAUGUUUUUACAUUCUGUUUCCUCCUGUGAUCUUUGGGAACUAGUAAUGAACAAUCAACUCUGAUGCUUUUUAGUAUGAACAAUGAUAGUUUUCUGAAAUUUGAAAAUCGGUAUCUGAGUAUGUGAUGUGGCAAUGCAUUCUUUUAGAUAAGCACUAAACAAAGUAUGGACCCUCCAUUUGUGUCUUUAAGAUUUAAAGUGAAGUAAAUUUCUAAGGAACUGUGUCCUUUCCUAGCAGGAAUAAACAGACAGUGAAAAUUUGGUAAGUAUGUAACUUUAAGUGCAUGUAAUAGUGAUGAGAGUAAGUAGCCAAAUUUUGAUAGCAUAAGAUAAUGUUUAAAAGUGAGCAAUAAUUAUUGCAUCUCUUGUGACAAUGUAUAUAUGUGUUUAACAUUUUUUACAAAUUUGUGUACAUAAAGAUUAAAUUGGAACAUACCUUACUCUUUGUCUGUUUUUUUUUUAUUUUGUAUGGUGCUUUAAAUACUAAUUUUAUAUUUCAAGCUUUUUGCAGGGUAGAAAUAAGUGACUGUUAAAGAAAAUACCUUCAAGAGGAAUUAUUUCAGUAUCCCUUUUUAAAACUCGAUGAUGGCUUUCAGUUUACUUAAGUCUUCUGUUUUUCAGCUCCAGUUAAAACUGACAAUAGGCAGCUAUCAAAAAUGGAAAAAAUCUUGUGCUCUUUCUGGAAUAUUAAAGGAAUCAGUAACAGUAAAGUGAUAUUAACCCACUACUUGAUUUGCAGUUUUUAAAGCAGUUUUUAAAUUGAGAGAAAAGGGGCCGGGCCCUGGCUGAGUUGGGUGGAUUGCCUGAGGUUAGGAGUUUUUGAGACAAGACUGGUCAACAUAGUGAAACCCCGUCUCCCCUAAAAAUACAAAAAUCAGCCGGGUGUGGUCUGACGUGCCUGUAACCCCAGCUACUCGGGAGGCUGAGGCAGGAGAAUCGCUUGAACCCAGGAGGAGGAGGUUGCAGUGAGCCAAGAUCGCGCCAUUGCACUCCAGCCUGGGUGACAGAGACUCCGCCUCAAAAAAAAAAAAAAAAGGUGAUGGAAUUUGGGAGUCUAUUCCCUGGGAUAUUGUAUUAAGAAUAAAGUGAUAAUGAAUGAAGGUUAAAGUGUUCAGUUGCUACAGCAGGAAAGAUUAUUUCUGAGGAAAAGGUCCAUUUGUUUCCAAACUAGUCUGUAGUGGUUUAGAGUAAGCAUUAUUUUAUGAAGUGGUACAAGAUCGCAAAGGUUAGUAAAAGGGCCAGGUCAGUCUUCAGGCUUCACUUUUACUGGUAAGGGAUUAUGUGAGGCAUAAGUCAUACAUGGGAUAUGAUUGUAAGGGGGUCUGAACAAAGCAUGAUAAAUGUUAGACCAUGUGGAUUAUUAAAUGGUCUAGUUGAAUAAAAAAUCAUGACUGAUAGGAUAAUUUUUAGUGUACGUAAACGAGCUCACUAAGGGUAAUUAAAUACUAGCUUUUAAAAUUUAAAGUUCUCACGAAUAAUAUUAGUGCAUCUUGUCACUUUGAUUUGUCACCUGGUUAAAUAGCUGGCAGCUUGUGCAAAUGAAAAAGGAAAUGGAAACCUACGUUUAUGUGUAUUAUCUGUAUAAUUUUUGUCUAAUAGUAAGUUCAGAGAGAGAGACGUUCCUUAAUAUGUAGCCAUGUAAUUAGAACUCACAAGGGGCAUUGAAAUGUUUUUCUUUUUCAGAUGGUCUGGGGCUAUUUACUUACUUUAAGUAAGCCAAGUCUACCAUUUGAAAAAUGGUGCUUUAUUUCCGUAUCUGAAGUCUGAAGUUAUUUUUUAGUUUUCAUCUAAAAGUGGAAAGAUUUUUGCUUCUGCCUUAUUAAAAGCCUCUUUGUUUGGAGAUGAUUAUCUCCUUCACUCAUUAACCUUUGAGUGCUUGUUAUCUACAAAGAUGAAUAAAAUCUUUCGUUUAUUAUUUA
RNA transcript from Rhinopithecus roxellana (golden snub-nosed monkey), 5677 nucleotides. It is a transcript of the gene named zinc finger protein 207, with no coding region annotated. The record is from RefSeq and is a predicted model, not a curated record. NCBI's taxonomy places the organism in Eukaryota, Metazoa, Chordata, Mammalia, Primates, Cercopithecidae. The transcript has 14 exons.